Molecule: ribosomal RNA, 497 nt
Filed under: uncultured bacterium
Lineage: Bacteria
Description: partial 16S ribosomal RNA
Rfam family: Bacterial small subunit ribosomal RNA
Source: RNAcentral
GAUGAACGCUGGCGGCGUGCCUAAUACAUGCAAGUCGAGCGAACAGAUAAGGAGCUUGCUCCUUUGACGUUAGCGGCGGACGGGUGAGUAACACGUGGAUAACCUACCUAUAAGACUGGGAUAACUUCGGGAAACCGGAGCUAAUACCGGAUAACAUAUUGAACCGCAUGGUUCAAUAGUGAAAGGCGGCUUUGCUGUCACUUAUAGAUGGAUCCGCGCCGUAUUAGCUAGUUGGUAAGGUAACGGCUUACCAAGGCAACAAUACGUAGCCGACCUGAGAGGGUGAUCGGCCACACUGGAACUGAGACACGGUCCAGACUCCUACGGGAGGCAGCAGUAGGGAAUCUUCCGCAAUGGGCGAAAGCCUGACGGAGCAACGCCGCGUGAGUGAUGAAGGUCUUCGGAUCGUAAAACUCUGUUAUCAGGGAAGAACAAAUGUGUAAGUAACUGUGCACAUCUUGACGGUACCUGAUCAGAAAGCCACGGCUAACUACGUG